CAAGAGUGACGUGUAUGGAUACUCAGUUUCUUUACCUUCAUCGAGUUAUUUUGGUCGCAGUUGGCUUAUGGCCUUACCAUCGAACAAUGCUUGUUCAACUUCAAUGUUUUGUGUUUUCUCUUACUUUGAGUAGUUCUAUUAUAUUUCAGCUUACAACAUUUCUAACUGCAGAAUGGACUAUUGAGUUUAUCGUUGAAAUUCUUUCUACAUCACUUUUUGUUCUUUUGUGCGCAACAGCUUAUAAUUCUUUUUGGAGUAACACGCAUGUUGUUAAGCGUGUAUUGCAAAAUCUUCAGUAUAUCUGCAGUAACUUAAAGGACGAAAACGAAAUUGCCAUAAUAAAAAGAUACGGAUACAUUGCAAAAUGUGUUAUAAUUGGAAUGACAUUGUUCGUAAUGUGCUUUUUCUUCAUCGUAACUCUUUUGCCAAUUCUGCCGCGGAUUUUCGGUAUCUUUUUCCUCGUAAAUGAAUCCGAGCCAUAUCGCAACAUAUAUAUCAGGACUGAAUAUUUUGUCGAUGAAGAAAAGUAUUUUUAUUUUAUUUUGCUGCAUCUGUACGCAGUCCAGUACAUAGCUGGAGGUACAUUAUUAGUGGCAGGAACACUUGUGGUAGGUUACUUUACAUAUUGUUGUGGAUUAUUUAACAUUGCCAGUUACCGUAUCGAACAGACAAAGUGGAUAAAUAGUGACGAAUUACCUACUCGGAUGAACAAGAGGCAGGUUAACAAGAAGAAGAAGUUAAUUCAUGCAGUGGACAUUCAUCGUACAUCUCUUAAGACUAUUGAAUUCUGUCUAUAUAACUUCGAGAAAACAUGCUUUCUUAUAAUAGUGCUUAUUAUAAUUUGCUUGAGCCUUCAUCUGUUUGGAGACAGUAGACCUGCCUUGGCAAUCCCAAUGGUGUGUACAAGAUUCCAUGCUAUUGCGGAAAAGUGUACAUUGAAGAAACCGGGAAGAAGAUCAGUACACGGAUCAAAGAACACCAGGAAUGUGCCAAAUACGGUCACUUCUCUCAGUCAGCCGUAGUCGAACACUGGUUGGAGACUGGACAUAUCGUUUAGUACGACAAGACUACGAUAUUGAGUCCUACGCAAGGCUACUUUGCAGAAAACAUCGUGAAGGUUUUAGAGAUUUUCAAGCAUCCUGACAACCUAAUUGACGAACCGUGGUAAAGAGUAUCAGGAUGGAAGACUUUGUAUUAC
Molecule: unclassified non-coding RNA, 1198 nt
Filed under: Ooceraea biroi (clonal raider ant)
Lineage: Eukaryota; Metazoa; Arthropoda; Insecta; Hymenoptera; Formicidae
Description: uncharacterized LOC109611447, transcript variant X5
Source: RNAcentral